Molecule: RNase P RNA, 305 nt
Filed under: Amphiprion percula (orange clownfish)
Lineage: Eukaryota; Metazoa; Chordata; Actinopteri; Pomacentridae
Description: Nuclear RNase P (ENSAPEG00000016323.1)
Rfam family: Nuclear RNase P
About the family: Ribonuclease P (RNase P) is a ubiquitous endoribonuclease, found in archaea, bacteria and eukarya as well as chloroplasts and mitochondria.
Source: Rfam by way of RNAcentral
GUGGGCGGAAGCUCAUUGUAGAGGUCACAUGCUGAGUGCUUGUCACUCCACCAAUCACCUCGGGGAAGGUCUGAGACUGGAGCCAAUGGUUGCCUUAGCAGGGCAUCACCUGAUUCGGGUGAGUGAGUGAACAGAAAGAAAGGGCCGCAGCGAACCUGUUAACACAGGAGAAGCCAGAUGGAGCAGUUAUCUCCGCUGGUGGAUGUGAGGCUCGCAGGCUUGGAAUCACUCGCGGCUGGCGAAUGAGUGCGAUGUAUGAGGUGGAGCACCGCUCCAGAACCCAAUUCAGACUACUCUCCUCCCAC